This 307-nucleotide long non-coding RNA is filed under the name Dermacentor andersoni. Its description in RNAcentral is "uncharacterized LOC126522466". The record is from RNAcentral. Lineage: Eukaryota; Metazoa; Arthropoda; Arachnida; Ixodida; Ixodidae.
AGAACGCGCUGAUAUACGACGCCCUGUCGCUGCUGGCACGCUCUUUCCACGAUCUGGACCGGUCCCAGAGCAUCGAAACGCAUCGGCUCUCCUGCUGGGACCCGGACGCCCAGGGACCCUGGCCUCAUGGCCGCGCCUUGGUCAGCUACAUGAAGAUGGUUCAGUUCAAGGGUCUUACUGGAGACAUGCACUUAAGCGACCUAGGUAGACGAAAGGACUUCGCGCUUGAUGUCGUCAAGCUUCAGUCGAAUGGCUUCGAGAAGGUGGGAGCAUGGACGGGGGACAUCGGCCUGACAGCUGUGACGCC